GCGUCGGUAGUGUAGCGGUUAUCACCGAGCGUUGCCAACGCUCUGACUCGGGUUCGAAUCCCGGCCGACGCA
This 72-nucleotide transfer RNA is filed under the name Methanosarcinales archaeon. RNAcentral describes it as "tRNA-Gly". It matches the Rfam family "tRNA". From Rfam's summary of the family: Transfer RNA (tRNA) molecules are approximately 80 nucleotides in length. Their secondary structure includes four short double-helical elements and three loops (D, anti-codon, and T loops). The record is from RNAcentral. Lineage: Archaea; Methanobacteriati; Methanobacteriota; Methanomicrobia; Methanosarcinales.